Molecule: long non-coding RNA, 386 nt
Organism: Manis pentadactyla (Chinese pangolin)
Lineage: Eukaryota; Metazoa; Chordata; Mammalia; Pholidota; Manidae
Exons: 2
Source: RefSeq, a predicted model, not a curated record
UAGGAAUAGGCACAGAGUAGGGGCUGAUGUGGUUGCCUGGUGGAAGCGUUUCACUCAUACAUUCCCAGGAGCCCAGGAGGUGGCCUGAGGGAGGGAGUCGCUGGAGCAGAUGACCAAUGGAAUGUGAGAGCCCGUCAGAGGGCACCUGCCACUGGAUUGAAGGCCACCCUCAUCCAGGACCACCUCAUCUCCGAUCCUUCCCUGAAUCCCAUCUGCAGAGACCCUGCUUCCUAGUGAGCUUACACUGACUAGUACUUGCAGCCAGUACAUGGAUGUGUCUUUCCUUUUUGUGGAGGGGACACAGUUCAACCCACAGUGACACCUUUUUUCUGUGAAAGAUAAAUGACAAUAAAAUCAAAUGCUGUGUUGGGUUCCUGUUGGUGUGA